AUUGGUAUGAGAAGCUUCCAGGAACUUCCUGUGCAGGGUGCAAGCCCUUAGCACCGGGAUCUUCUGGUAAAUUUUGGAGGGAGGGUCUUCGGACCCUCUUUUUUUUUUUAUUUUUUU
RNAcentral lists this unclassified non-coding RNA (117 nucleotides) under Trypanosoma theileri. RNAcentral's name for it is "partial trans-spliced leader sequence SL". Lineage: Eukaryota; Euglenozoa; Kinetoplastea; Trypanosomatida; Trypanosomatidae. The record is from RNAcentral.